Molecule: ribosomal RNA, 118 nt
Filed under: Periophthalmus magnuspinnatus
Lineage: Eukaryota; Metazoa; Chordata; Actinopteri; Gobiiformes; Gobiidae
Source: RNAcentral
CGUUUAUGAAAUACCUGUUUAUCUAUGUCUGAUCUUAUGAGAUCUCAGAGGCUAAGCAAGGCCGGGCCUAGUGAGUACUUAGAUGAGAGGUUGCUGGGAAUACCAGGAGCCACAGUGG